ACACGGGAAAGGAGGUGGUCCAAAGUUGUGUAGCAACGGGACUCGUGAGGUGGCUGUCCGCUAGCGGAUGCCACACCCUGGACUGCUGGUGAAUACCAGACAGCCACCGCCCCCCGGCGUUUCCGAGCACUGGUCCGGCUCGGGCCCGAACGGCUGACGACGGUCGGGAGUCGCGCCGGGGGUUCCCCCA
Molecule: small RNA, 190 nt
Organism: Amycolatopsis methanolica 239
Lineage: Bacteria; Bacillati; Actinomycetota; Actinomycetes; Pseudonocardiales; Pseudonocardiaceae
Rfam family: Actinobacteria sRNA Ms_IGR-5
Source: Rfam